Non-coding RNA from Fomes fomentarius, 83 nucleotides. The record is from the annotation of a GenBank genome assembly. NCBI's taxonomy places the organism in Eukaryota, Fungi, Basidiomycota, Agaricomycetes, Polyporales, Polyporaceae.
UCUCUGUUAGUAUAUCGGUUAGUACACGCGCCUGUCAUGCUUGGCGUUCGCGCGAAAGCGGGGUUCGACUCCCCGACAGAGAG